UGGGGAAUUUUGGACAAUGGGCGAAAGCCUGAUCCAGCAAUGCCGCGUGUGUGAAGAAGGCCUUCGGGUUGUAAAGCACUUUUGUCCGGAAAGAAAUCCUUGGCUCUAAUACAGUCGGGGGAUGACGGUACCGGAAGAAUAAGCACCGGCUAACUACGUGCCAGCAGCCGCGGUAAUACGUAGGGUGCAAGCGUUAAUCGGAAUUACUGGGCGUAAAGCGUGCGCAGGCGGUUUGCUAAGACCGAUGUGAAAUCCCCGGGCUCAACCUGGGAACUGCAUUGGUGACUGGCAGGCUAGAGUAUGGCAGGAGGGGGGUAGAAUUCCACGUGUAGCAGUGAAAUGCGUAGAGAUGUGGAGGAAUACCGAUGGCGAAGGCAGCCCCCUGGGCCAAUACUGACGCUCAUGCACGAAAGCGUGGGGGAGCAAACAGGAUUAGAUACCCUGGUAGUCCACGCCCUAAACGAUGUCAACUAGUUGUUGGGGAUUCAUUUCCUUAGUAACGUAGCUAACGCGUGAAGUUGACCGCCUGGGGAGUACGGUCGCAAGAUU
RNAcentral lists this ribosomal RNA (549 nucleotides) under uncultured bacterium. RNAcentral's name for it is "partial 16S ribosomal RNA". It matches the Rfam family "Bacterial small subunit ribosomal RNA", at positions 355 to 895 of the family's 1533-position model. The record is from RNAcentral.